RNAcentral lists this ribosomal RNA (403 nucleotides) under uncultured bacterium. Its description in RNAcentral is "bacterial SSU rRNA". It matches the Rfam family "Bacterial small subunit ribosomal RNA", at positions 355 to 775 of the family's 1533-position model. The record is from RNAcentral.
UAGGGAAUAUUAGUAAUGGGCGAAAGCCUGAACUAGCAACGCCGCGUGUGCGAAGAGGGCCUUCGGGUUGUAAAGCACUUUUUGAGAGGAUGAGGAAGGACGGUACUCUCAGAAUAAGUCUCGGCUAACUACGUGCCAGCAGCCGCGGUAACACGUAGGAGGCGAACGUUAUCCGGAUCUACUGGGCGUAAAGCGCGUGUAGGUGGUUUGGUAAGUAGGGCGUGAAAGCUCCUGGCUCAACUGGGAGAGGCCGUUCUAAACUGCCGAACUAGAGGAUGGUAGAGGGAGGUGGAAUUCCGGGUGUAGCGGUAGAAUGCGCAGAUAUCCGGAGGAACACCAGUGGCGAAAGCGGCCUCCUGGACCACUCCUGACACUCAGACGCGAAAGCUAGGGUAGCAAACGG